Molecule: ribosomal RNA, 400 nt
Filed under: uncultured bacterium
Lineage: Bacteria
Description: partial 16S ribosomal RNA
Rfam family: Bacterial small subunit ribosomal RNA
Source: RNAcentral
AAUAUUGGACAAUGGGGGCAACCCUGAUCCAGCAACGCCGCGUGAGGGAUGAAGGUCUUUGGAUUGUAAACCUCUCUUCUCAGGGAAGAGCGAGGACGGUACCUGAGGAAUAAGUCACGGCUAACUACGUGCCAGCAGCCGCGGUAAUACGUAGGUGGCAAGCGUUAUCCGGAAUUACUGGGCGUAAAGCGCACGCAGGCGGCCAUUUAAGUCUGACGUGAAAGCUGCCGGCUUAACUGGGAGAGGUCGUUGGAGACUGGGUGGCUUGAGGCAAUGAGAGGGGUGUAGAAUUCCUGGUGUAGUGGUGGAAUGCGUAGAUAUCAGGAGGAAUACCAGUGGCGAAAGCGGCACCCUGGCAUUGGCCUGACGCUCAUGUGCGAAAGCGUGGGGAGCGAACGGG